AAUAGAUACCCGGGUAGUCCAUGCCGUAAACGAUGUCUACUAGCCGUUGGGGCCUUUGAGGCUUUAGUGGCGCAGCUAACGCGAUAAGUAGACCGCCUGGGGAGUACGGUCGCAAAACUAAAACUCAAAUGAAUUGACGGGGGCCCGCACAAGCGGUGGAGCAUGUGGUUUAAUUCGAUGCAACGCGAAGAACCUUACCUGGCCUUGACAUACUAGAAACUUUCCAGAGAUGGAUUGGUGCCUUCGGGAAUCUAGAUACAGGUGCUGCAUGGCUGUCGUCAGCUCGUGUCGUGAGAUGUUGGGUUAAGUCCCGCAACGAGCGCAACCCUUUUCCUUACUUGCCAGCAUUUCGGAUGGGAACUUUAAGGAUACUGCCAGUGACAAACUGGAGGAAGGCGGGGACGACGUCAAGUCAUCAUGGCCCUUACGGCCAGGGCUACACACGUGCUACAAUGGUCGGUACAAAGGGUUGCUAGCCUGCGAAGGUGUGCUAAUCUCAAAAGCCGAUCGUAGUCCGGAUUGGAGU
Molecule: ribosomal RNA, 526 nt
Filed under: uncultured bacterium
Lineage: Bacteria
Description: bacterial SSU rRNA
Rfam family: Bacterial small subunit ribosomal RNA
Source: RNAcentral